AUUGAACGCUGGCGGUAUGCUUAAGACAUGCAAGUCGUGCGGUAGGGGCUUCGGCCCUGAGAGUGGCGGACGGGUGAGUAACGCGUGGGAAUCUGCCUGCUAGUGGGGGAUAGCCCGGAGAAAUCCGGAUUAAUACCGCAUACGCCCUAAGGGGAAAGCCGCAAGGCGCUAGUAGAUGAGCUCGCGUAAGAUUAGCUAGUUGGUGAGGUAAAGGCUCACCAAGGCGACGAUCUUUAGCUGGUCUGAGAGGAUGGCCAGCCACAUCGGGACUGAGACACGGCCCGGACUCCUACGGGAGGCAGCAGUCGGGAAUAUUGGACAAUGGGCGCAAGCCUGAUCCAGCAAUACCGCGUGUGUGAAGAAGGCCUGCGGGUUGUAAAGCACUUUCAGUUGGGAAGAUAAUGACGUUACCAACAGAAGAAGCACCGGCUAACUCCGUG
Molecule: ribosomal RNA, 440 nt
Filed under: uncultured bacterium
Lineage: Bacteria
Description: bacterial SSU rRNA
Rfam family: Bacterial small subunit ribosomal RNA
Source: RNAcentral